UACAGAGGGUGCGAGCGUUGUCCGGAAUCACUGGGCGUAAAGGGCGCGUAGGCGGCUUUUCAAGCGUGCGGUGAAAGCUCGGGGCUUAACUCCGAGUCUGCCGUGCGAACUGGGAGGCUUGAGUCUGGUAGAGGUCGAUGGAAUUCCGGGUGUAGCGGUGGAAUGCGUAGAGAUCCGGAAGAACACCGGUGGCGAAGGCGGUCGACUGGGCCAGUACUGACGCUGAGGCGCGACAGCGUGGGGAGCAAACAGGAUUAGAUACCCUGGUAGUCCACGCCGUAAACGAUGGGCACUAGGUCCUUGGGGGAGCGACCCCUUGAGGGCCGGCGCUAACGCAUUAAGUGCCCCGCCUGGGGAGUACGGCCGCAAGGCUGAA
RNAcentral lists this ribosomal RNA (376 nucleotides) under uncultured bacterium. RNAcentral's name for it is "bacterial SSU rRNA". It matches the Rfam family "Bacterial small subunit ribosomal RNA", at positions 524 to 898 of the family's 1533-position model. The record is from RNAcentral.